Drosophila biarmipes is the source of this 135-nucleotide long non-coding RNA. RefSeq lists it as uncharacterized. The record is from RefSeq and is a predicted model, not a curated record. The transcript is spliced from 3 exons. Lineage: Eukaryota; Metazoa; Arthropoda; Insecta; Diptera; Drosophilidae.
UGUCCAGUGCCAAUCGACCGCCUAUCAAGGCGCCCCCCUUCCUGUUGUAUGAUGAUUCUGCAAAUUUGCAACUUCUAAGACUUAGCAUUCAGUUUGCAGCGGGUUGCUGCCAUCAUGUGUGCCCCCUUUCUUGCC